AAAUAUCCUCGUUAGGUGAGGCUCCUGUGUUGGAGAUAUGCUACUGCCCAAAAAUGUCGAAAGACGCCAAUGGGUCAACAGAAACCAUCGACAUAAGGUGGUUUUUAAUGUAGCUGGGCUUUUGCCCUAUGCCACACAGUGCUAAAGCUCUACGAAUGGAGGAACAGA
This 168-nucleotide small RNA is filed under the name Bacillus sp. (in: firmicutes). Its description in RNAcentral is "Bacillus sp. Magnesium sequence". It matches the Rfam family "M-box riboswitch aptamer (ykoK leader)". From Rfam's summary of the family: M-box riboswitch, also know as ykoK leader is described as a metaloregulatory RNA that sense divalent metals and function as a genetic control element of genes related to divalent metal transport in bacteria. It was first reported upstream of the B.subtilis ykoK gene and genes with related functions in other bacteria. Phylogenetic analysis of the distribution of M-box RNAs across bacterial genomes revealed that M-box riboswitches are most often employed for the regulation of Mg2+ transporter genes The record is from RNAcentral. Lineage: Bacteria; Bacillati; Bacillota; Bacilli; Caryophanales; Bacillaceae. RNAcentral also lists the same sequence under 1 other name.